UCCCUGGUGGCUCAAACAGUAAAGAAUCUGCCUGAAAUGCAGGAGACCCAGGUUCAAUCCCUGGGUUAGGAA
Molecule: transfer RNA, 72 nt
Filed under: Bos taurus (domestic cattle)
Lineage: Eukaryota; Metazoa; Chordata; Mammalia; Artiodactyla; Bovidae
Also listed under: 5 other names
Rfam family: tRNA
About the family: Transfer RNA (tRNA) molecules are approximately 80 nucleotides in length. Their secondary structure includes four short double-helical elements and three loops (D, anti-codon, and T loops). Further hydrogen bonds mediate the characteristic L-shaped molecular structure. tRNAs have two regions of fundamental functional importance: the anti-codon, which is responsible for specific mRNA codon recognition, and the 3' end, to which the tRNAs corresponding amino acid is attached (by aminoacyl-tRNA synthetases). tRNAs cope with the degeneracy of the genetic code in two manners: having more than one tRNA (with a specific anti-codon) for a particular amino acid; and 'wobble' base-pairing, i.e. permitting non-standard base-pairing at the 3rd anti-codon position.
Source: Rfam by way of RNAcentral